UACGUAGGGAGCAAGCGUUAUCCGGAAUUAUUGGGUGUAAAGGGUGCGUAGAUGGGAAUACAAGUUGGUUGUGAAAUCCCCAGGCUUAACUUGGGAACUGCAACCAAAACUAUAUUUCUUGAGUGCAGGAGAGGAAAGCGGAAUUCCUAGUGUAGCGGUGAAAUGCGUAGAUAUUAGGAGGAACACCAGUGGCGAAGGCGGCUUUCUGGACUGUAACUGACAUUGAGGCACGAAAGUGUGGGGAGCAAAC
Molecule: ribosomal RNA, 250 nt
Filed under: uncultured prokaryote
Description: partial 16S ribosomal RNA
Rfam family: Bacterial small subunit ribosomal RNA
Source: RNAcentral